Panicum virgatum (switchgrass) is the source of this 724-nucleotide long non-coding RNA. RefSeq lists it as uncharacterized. Lineage: Eukaryota; Viridiplantae; Streptophyta; Magnoliopsida; Poales; Poaceae. The record is from RefSeq and is a predicted model, not a curated record. The transcript has 4 exons.
AUUUACUACCUUUUUGAAUUGGUUUAUUCAUUUGAGAUUAAAAACAUACUAACUUUUAAAUUCUGCACUUUCAUCUUACUUGGACAUCAUAAAGAUUAACAGCUCCAGCAGCAACAUUGAAGAGCUUGGAGUUGCAUGAUAACUUGAAAGACAAGGAUGGCACUGCAAACUACUUGAAAGGACCUAUACUGAUCUUGUGUUAUCUGAUCGUUGCUGCCAGUUUCUUUGUUCAUGUUGAUCCGCAAUCGACUAUAGGCGCCGGCGGACUACUUGGCUUUAUGCAUGGCUUACCCACUGGCUUAACUUGCUUGAGCGAGCUAGCAAGAGGUACUGUAGGCCAUUGCACAUGGAGUCCAUUAUAUUUCCUGAAUCCUGAACCCGUAGUCUUUAACAGUUACAGCUCAAGAGGAGGAAGUAUAUCAAGACUGUUUUCUUCUGAAGAUUUUGGUGAUCCUUGCACUACGUGGACACUUGACUACUAGAGGAGGAAGUGUUCUACCCGGAACAGUAGAACGUGCUUCUUUUUUCUUUCUUUUUUUUGGAGAUAGAAGAGCAGAACGUGCUGAAACUACAUUGAAAACUCUGGAGCCAAGCUGUACUUCAUUAUCCCAUUCAUUGUCUUUGUUGUGAUAAUCAGGAAACCUUCUCUAUUGGUUAUCUCCUUAACGUUGAUGCAAAGUGUUGUGCGUCUUGUAAAGAUUGUUGCACAAUAUUGAAUGUUGAC